Molecule: ribosomal RNA, 253 nt
Filed under: uncultured bacterium
Lineage: Bacteria
Description: partial 16S ribosomal RNA
Rfam family: Bacterial small subunit ribosomal RNA
Source: RNAcentral
UACGGAGGGUGCUAGCGUUGUUCGGAUUUACUGGGCGUAAAGCGUGCGCAGGCGGUCGGGUAAGUCAGUGGUGAAAUCCUGUAGCUUAACUACAGAACUGCCAUUGAUACUAUUUGUCUUGAAUACCCUGGAGGUGAGCGGAAUAUGUCAUGUAGCGGUGAAAUGCUUAGAUAUGACAUAGAACAUCUAUUGCGAAGGCAGCUCACUACGGGAAUAUUGACGCUGAGGCACGAAAGCGUGGGGAUCAAACAGG